Molecule: ribosomal RNA, 97 nt
Filed under: uncultured bacterium
Lineage: Bacteria
Description: partial 16S ribosomal RNA
Rfam family: Bacterial small subunit ribosomal RNA
Source: RNAcentral
CACACCGCCCGUCACACCAUGGGAGUGGGUUGCACCAGAAGUGGUUAGUCUAACCGCAAGGGGGACGAUCACCACGGUGCGAUUCAUGACUGGGGUG